GGGGUGUGAAUGAGAAAUUAGAGGUUUAGAGGCAAAUCCUUGAGUCUAAGGGGUUCAAGUUGAAUAGGUUUAAGACGGAAUAUUUUGAAUGCCAGUUUAGUGACUUGAGGCAGGAGGACGAAGUGGUGGUGAGGUUGAAUUCCCAGGAUAUUUGUAAGAGGGAUAGUUUUAAGUGUGUUAGAGUCUAUGAUUCAGGGGAAUGGUGAGAUUGAUGAGGAUGUCUCUAAACGUAUUGGAGUAGGUUGGAUGAAGUGGAGGCUCGUCUCAGGAGUGUUGUGUGAUAAGAAGGUGUCCCUUAAGCUUAAAGGAAAAUUCUCUAUAGUGGCAGUCCGUCCGACCAUGUUGUAUGGAGCGGAGUGUUGGCCAGUCAAGCACUCCCACAUCUAAAAAUUGAAUGUGGCGUAAAUGAGAAUGUUACGUUGGAUGUGUGGCCUUACUAGAGGGGACAGAGUUAGGAAUGAGAUUAUCCGGGAGAAGGUGGGAGUGGCUUCGGUGGAGGACAAGAUGCGGGAAAGAAGGCUGAGAUGGUUUGGGCAUGUGAUGAGGAGGGGCGCAAAUGCCCCAGUUCGUAGGUGUGAGAGGCUAGCUUUGGAUGGAUUCAGGAAGAGUAGAGGUAGGCUGAAGAAAUACUGUAGGGAGGUGAUUAUACAUGACAUGGAGCAGCUUCGGCUUACUGAGGACAUAACCUUAGAUAGGAAGGUGUGGAGGUCGCGGAUAAGGGUGAAGGCUAGUGUGAGUGUGUCGGUUAUAGUAGGCAGUUAGGAGAGAUCUUGUGUAGCUGAGUUCGUAAUUCUAGGACUGUGUACUUAGGUGCAUUUGGUAUGUGAGGGUAUGUUACCACUAGGUGGGGAUCCUUUUUCUUAUUUCUUAGUGCCUAUUUUCUUAUUUAGUGUUGCCCUUAUUUCUCAUAUUUUCUCUGGUUUCUGUUCUAUUAUUUCUUAUUCCUUGUCUACUAUUCUUUACCAUGAGCCGGGGGUUAAUCGAAAACAACCUCUCUACUUCUUCGGAGGUAGCGGUAUGGACUGCGUACAUCUUACCCUCCUCAAACCCCACUUGUGGGAAUACACUGGGUUUGUUGUUGUUGUUGUUGUUGUUUUAAUGGUGAUUCAUAUGAAUGAUAAAUAUGAUAUCAUUCUAUGGGUAUUAUGGUGAUUCAUAUGAUAGAUACAUUUUGUAUGAUUUUAACGGGUGAUACAUAUGAUAUUAAUGGGUGAUACAUAUUGUAUUAUGGUGAUUCAUAU
Molecule: long non-coding RNA, 1241 nt
Filed under: Capsicum annuum
Lineage: Eukaryota; Viridiplantae; Streptophyta; Magnoliopsida; Solanales; Solanaceae
Description: long non-coding RNA (CANN_LNC006058)
Source: RNAcentral